Molecule: long non-coding RNA, 267 nt
Organism: Carassius gibelio (silver crucian carp)
Lineage: Eukaryota; Metazoa; Chordata; Actinopteri; Cypriniformes; Cyprinidae
Exons: 4
Source: RefSeq, a predicted model, not a curated record
AGGGUCAGAUUUGUCUCCUGAGGAGGAUGAGUCAUUGCCAGACAAGAAAAAGGAGGAUACAGUGUUGCUUCCGGUUCCUCCGCCAAAAAUUAAGGGACAAAAUGCAAUGCUGCUCGAGUUACCUGCACCCCCAGAACUGGCUAACACCACCAUUAGACAACCAGAGAGUCCUGCAUCUUCAGACAUUUCUGGAUGUUCUUGUCCAACGCAUCACCGUUCGCCCACAAGGUCUGAAUCAUUAGAAGCAUUUAGUCCAGAGUCAGACAG